Molecule: unclassified non-coding RNA, 534 nt
Filed under: Hevea brasiliensis (rubber tree)
Lineage: Eukaryota; Viridiplantae; Streptophyta; Magnoliopsida; Malpighiales; Euphorbiaceae
Source: RNAcentral
GUUAGAAAAAUAAUUAGUGAUUGUGUAUUAUUUUUUUUGUUAGUGGAUUUAUUGUUACUCUGAAUUAUCUUAAAAUUUUAUUUUCUUUAAUUUGUGUAGGUGAUUUUCACAAUAAUUGGUAUUAGAAUCAUGGCUUGAGAUGUCGAAAAUGGUAAGCACAAAGUUUGAGAGGGAACCAUUCGAUAGGAAACACAAUUUCAUUUUGUGGCAAAGCAUGGUGAAGGAUGUCCUUGUGCAAUAAAUAUUAUUUAAGGCUUUGAACAAGAAGCAACUAGCAACUAUCAAGGAUAAUGAUUGAGAGGAAAUUCAAUAAAGGGCAAUAAGUACGAUUUAAUUAAUGUUAACCCUUGAUGUGAAGUACAAUAUUUUGAAAGCGAGUUCGCUAAUUACUUUGUGAAAAAAAAUUGUAGAGCCUAUGCAUUUCAAAGUUACUCACAAACUGCCUGUAUUUGAAGGAGUUGUACCAACUCAAAAUGGAUGAAGUUACUAAAGUGAAGGAUCACCUUAAUGUUUUUAAUAAAUUAAUUACUCAAU